GAUGAACGCUAGCGGCAGGCUUUAACACAUGCAAGUCGAGGGGCAGCGCGAAUGUUAGCAAUAACAUUUGGCGGCGACCGGCGCAAGGGUGCGUAACGCGUGAGCAACUUGCCCGUUUCUGGGGAAUAACCGGUGGAAACGCCGACUAAUACCUGAUGGUGUUCAAAUUCCGCAUGUUAUUUGAACUAAAGAUUUAUCGGUAACGGAUGGGGAUGCGUGACAUUAGGUAGAUGGCGGGGUAACGGCCCACCAUGCCUACGAUGUCUAGGGGUUCUGAGAGGAAGGUCCCCCACACUGGAACUGAGACACGGUCCAGACUCCUACGGGAGGCAGCAGUGAGGAAUAUUGGUCAAUGGACGAGAGUCUGAACCAGCCAAGUAGCGUGCAGGAAGACGGCCCUCUGGGUUGUAAACUGCUUUUAGUUGGGAAUAAAAGAGGGACGUGUCCCUAAUUGUAUGUACCAUCAGAAAAAGGACCGGCUAAUUCCGUG
Molecule: ribosomal RNA, 490 nt
Filed under: uncultured bacterium
Lineage: Bacteria
Description: bacterial SSU rRNA
Rfam family: Bacterial small subunit ribosomal RNA
Source: RNAcentral